This 2043-nucleotide long non-coding RNA is filed under the name Salmo salar (Atlantic salmon). Its description in RNAcentral is "lncRNA (ENSSSAG00000116136.1)". Lineage: Eukaryota; Metazoa; Chordata; Actinopteri; Salmoniformes; Salmonidae. The record is from RNAcentral.
CAGCACUUCAACUAGAUGAGAUACAUUUAAAUAUGUUAUGUAUUCAUUAUAGCUUAUUUUUGCUUUGAUAAUGUUGGUUCUGUACAAAAUUAAAAUAGUGUGCAGCAAAAUUAAAUGAGUGGCUAAACCAAGGCUGGUUUAAAAUGUAGUUUGUGGUGAUUAAAAUACUCUCACUCAUGAAUAUCCAAAUGACAAAACAUUUAUUUUUUACAUAUCAAAUUGUUCACCAUGGCUGGUAAUCACAAUUGUCUCAUUACUGUAUCUUUUUUUUCUCUUCCAACUUCAUAUCCAAUACAACCUGUAGAAUUCUUAUUUUCAUUUCAUGUUCUUCCUUCAGAUAUUUCAUUUCAUGCUCAUGAAAUUCUCUGGUUAACUUUUAAUGCAUGGUCAUCUUUUUUGUUCUCUGCUGAAAGGUGGUGGCAGCAUCUUCUCUCAGGGAUGCUAUAGCAGAUCAAAUCAAAUCAAAUGUAUUUGUCACAUACACAUGGUUGGAGGGUACACACUCACUGCACUGGCUCUUCCAACCUGUUCAGAUUGCUUUCCUCUGGAAAAAGAACACUGUUAGAAGCACAAAUAAACUCAUAUGAUCCUUAGAAUGAAAGAAGAAUCAAGAUUGACACAGACAGGGGAAUAUAUUAACCCAAGGAAGUAACCAAUUUACUUUCUUUCGUAUAUGUACCAUUUGUGCUCAGUUCUUCAUCUGAACUGUCCAAAUAGUCAUCGUCUGGUAUACCAUCCAGAGGUUGGUCAUCAUCUGGUAUACCAUCCAGAGGUUGCUGGUGCUCUAUUACUCCAGACAGCAAGUCGCUCAAUUCAUCAGUCAUGUCUUUUUUUGGUGGUCCACCACCAGUAGUUAAUCGCUCUCUUCUGAUCUCUGCAUUCUCUCUUUUAAAGCCAGUUUAAGGUUCUUCCAGAGUCUAUAAAAGGCAGAUAUCAUUCAGUAUAAGUGAUGUCACAAAAAUAUAAAUAUGAGAAAUGUGAAAUACUGAUAAUAAUGAAGAUAUCUCAGCUGAAGUUGCUGUACUCUUCUUGUGAUUACAUUUUCAUUAGCAUUGUAUUCACUGCAAAUUGCAGCCCAAGCACUCUUUUUCUGUUUUAGUAGCAUUUUUUCAUACUCAAUAGGUUUUUCAACUAAUUAUUUUAGCCUCUGCCAUAGUCUCAAGAUUCACACUAGUAAUGGUGUUUUCAAUUCCAGUCCGGGUUUUAAUGAGCACCAUUAGACCAACAGCGUGUGCUCAUACUGAACCUAAUCAGGCUUAACCCAGGUGUUCUCAUUUAGGUUUACUAACCUUACUCCAGGCCUCCAUAGUCUCCGACCAUCUAAGCCACGUUCAUGAAAGCUACUUAAAUGUCCUAGUUUAACUAGUACACAUUAAGGCCUACUCCUGGCUUAAGCUAAACCCUGUCUGUGAAACCGGCCUAUUGUUUAGUAGAAUCGCUCCCCUGGCUUAGACAGGGUUUAGACUACUAUGUUAACAAAAGUAUCAAGCACUUACUACUUGUGUUAUUCACUCCAUCCAGUAGAUGGCAACAAAAUACACUUUAUAUUAGAGAGUGGGGAGUCAAGUCAUCAGGUUACUCCAGAAACAUCAUGUACUGUAAUGUCCAGCAUGUGGCGCCACAUGAUAACAGAUAUCUGCCUGUCUCACUGAAGAGGUCACGAAACAUCUAUUCCCUAUCGUAUCUGUUAGGUCAAUCUACACCUGUCAUUUCACUCCGAGGACAUAUAAGUGAAUCUGAUAUGAACUAAGACACAAAUGGUAAGGAUAAUGCUACCUAACUUGGGUCAAAGGUUAUGUUACCUCUGUGUUAGUUUAACUGGACCUGUUUGUGUGUGUGUGUACGUGUGUGCAUGCGUGUCAAUAUUUAUGAAGGUAGAUGUAAUUAAUGUGAUUUAUCGCUUACAUCUGGAAUGAUGCAGGCAGACAAUACAAGCAUUCACAAGCAGGAGGACAAUUCAAAUUCACAAAAGCAUGACGUUCUGCGAAAAUAAUGUGCUUGUUAUGGCUCACAGGGCCUUUGUGAUGGAUAUUUGUAACAUGC